Molecule: ribosomal RNA, 253 nt
Filed under: uncultured bacterium
Lineage: Bacteria
Description: partial 16S ribosomal RNA
Rfam family: Bacterial small subunit ribosomal RNA
Source: RNAcentral
CACGUAGGGCGCAAGCGUUGUCCGGAAUUAUUGGGCGUAAAGAGCUCGUAGGCGGUCUGUUGCGUCCGCUGUGAAAACUCGGGGCUUAACCCCGAGCCUGCAGUGGAUACGGGCAGACUAGAGGUAGGUAGGGGAGAAUGGAAUUCCUGGUGUAGCGGUGGAAUGCGCAGAUAUCAGGAGGAACACCGAUGGCGAAGGCGGCAUCCUGGACCGGCAUUGACGCUGAGGCGCGAAAGCCAGGGGAGCAAACGGG